UGGGUUUUCAUGAUUUCAUCAAACACUUGGACGUGCCCACCCGAUUGCUCCCUUUGAGCGAAAAUAUAAAGGGUGCCCUUUUUGAUAUAGAAUGAUAUGGAACGUAACGGGUGCCUUUAACACUGCCUGUGAUGGCCAUGGAUCAACAUUCUCUCGAGAAAACACUGCAACAAAGAUGGAUUUUAGUGACCACUUCUAGUAACAGCUAUAAAAAUUUAGUCACUAUGUAGCAUUUUUAGAGGCAAGCAGUGGUAGUUGCCCCACAAAAAUUAUAUUAGUGGCAGCCAGAAAAUAUUGGUCACUGCAUGAAGACCUUUAGCGGUGGCCACAAACCACCGU
Molecule: long non-coding RNA, 339 nt
Filed under: Phoenix dactylifera (date palm)
Lineage: Eukaryota; Viridiplantae; Streptophyta; Magnoliopsida; Arecales; Arecaceae
Description: long non-coding RNA (PDAC_LNC002265)
Source: RNAcentral